This 290-nucleotide ribosomal RNA is filed under the name uncultured bacterium. RNAcentral's name for it is "partial 16S ribosomal RNA". It matches the Rfam family "Bacterial small subunit ribosomal RNA", at positions 44 to 334 of the family's 1533-position model. The record is from RNAcentral.
GUGCCUAACACAUGCAAGUCGAACGAGAAAGCGGGGGCAACUCCGUGAGUAAAGUGGCGUACGGGUGAGUAACACGUAGCUAACCUACCCUCGAGUGAGGAAUAACCUGGGGAAACUCGGGCUAAUACCCCAUAACAUCCCGAGCGAUCGGGAGCAAGGGUCCGCAAGGGCCGCUUGAGGAGGGGGCUGCGGCCGAUUAGCUAGUUGGUGAGGUAACGGCCCACCAAGGCGAUGAUCGGUAGCCGGCCUGAGAGGGCGCACGGCCACACUGGCACUGAAACACGGGCCAG